RNAcentral lists this ribosomal RNA (459 nucleotides) under uncultured bacterium. Its description in RNAcentral is "partial 16S ribosomal RNA". It matches the Rfam family "Bacterial small subunit ribosomal RNA", at positions 338 to 795 of the family's 1533-position model. The record is from RNAcentral.
CCUACGGGUGGCAGCAGUGAGGAAUAUUGGUCAAUGGUCGGGAGACUGAACCAGCCAAGCCGCGUGAGGGAUGAAGGUACAGAGUAUCGUAAACCUCUUUUGUCAGGGAACAAAGGCGGGGACGCGUCCCCGGAUGAGUGUACCAGAAGAAAAAGCAUCGGCUAACCCGGUGCCAGCAGCCGCGGUAAUCCGGAGGAUGCGAGGGUUAUCCGGAUUUAUUGGGUUUAAGGGGUGGGCAGGCGGUCUGUAAAGUCAGCGGUCAAAGCCCGGGGUUCAACCCGGGCCCGCCGUUGAAACUGGCAGUCUCGAGUUGGAGAGAAGUAUGCGGAAUGCGCGGUGUAGCGGUGAAAUGCAUAGAUAUCGCGCAGAACUCCGAUUGCGAAGGCAGCAUGCCGGCUCCACACUGACGCUGAUGCACGAAAGCGUGGGUAUCGAACAGGAUUAGAUACCCAAGUAGUC